GUGAGUCAUCGAAUCUUUGAACGCACAUUGCGCCCCUUGGUAUUCCAUGGGGCAUGCCUGUUCGAGCGUCAUCUACACCCUCAAGCUCUGCUUGGUGUUGGGCGUCUGUCCCGCCUCUGCGCGUGGACUCGCCCCAAAUUCAUUGGCAGCGGUCUUUGCCUCCUCUCGCGCAGCACAUUGCGCUUCUCGAGGUGUCUGCGGGGCCCGCGUCCACGAAGCAUUACCAGUCUUUGACCUCGGAUCAGGUAGGGAUACCCGCUGAACUUAAGCAUAUCAAUAAGCGGAGGA
RNAcentral lists this unclassified non-coding RNA (288 nucleotides) under Didymocrea sp. RNAcentral describes it as "partial contains 5.8S ribosomal RNA, internal transcribed spacer 2, and large subunit ribosomal RNA". The stretch from base 1 to 71 matches the Rfam family "5.8S ribosomal RNA", at positions 84 to 154 of the family's 154-position model. Lineage: Eukaryota; Fungi; Ascomycota; Dothideomycetes; Zopfiaceae. The record is from RNAcentral.